GCCCGCGCUCCUCCGGCUCCGCGGCGCCCUCGCCGGGUGCGUGCCGCUUGCACGCCCGCCCGCCCGGCUCUCCGCGCCCGCCGCCCGCGCCCGGCCCCGGCGCCCCGGCCCUGCUGCCCGCGCUUCAUGGCUGCGCACGAAUGGGACUGGUUCCAGCGCGAGGAGCUCAUCGGACAGAUCAGCGACAUCCGAGUCCAGAACCUUCAAGAGUUGAGAUACAUGAACUCUGGAAAUGCUGAUAACCCCGAGUGAGUCAAGUCUGGAAUAUUUUGGAUAAACAUUCUUCUAUUUCAUGUGAAAUAUCAAAGUCUAUUCAGAAAACAAGAGAGCAUCAUUAGAGGAUUGGCUGAUAUGCAGUUCCUGAUUUUUGGCUACAUUACAUCAAGCAUUAAACAUACAAUUAUGAGGAACUUAAAUUCCCAGAGGAUGGAAGGAAAACCCUAAUCAUGCCUCACUGUUUAAGUAUGGUUGAAUGACAUCAUACUGUACGUCUGUUAUUUCAUUUAUUUUCCUGAACUUCCCCUCUCUGCUUAGUUGAAGGUCACCCCAUAACCUUCAUUGCUCUGGUUCCAUCGGCUCCAUGGUAUUGUUUAUGAAACCAAUAGUGAUCAUUGAUAAUGACACUUCCAUUUUUUCUCUUUCUACUUAUUUUUAUAAAACAAGGAUGAAUUGCAAUCGAAUGUUCCAGUAACUCCCCAAACAUGUGGUACAAUGAAGAUGGCAGUGUAGCUAAAAGGCUCCCCUGUGCUGUAGCUUGGCCCCUUCCUUGUCAGGGUGAUUUAGCCAAGAUGCAGCUUGAGUGACUAAAGAGAAUUUGGGGCAUUGCUGUCGUAAAAUGUAUAAUAUAGAGUACAGGUUCUAUAAAAAUCAGCUAAGUCAG
This 880-nucleotide long non-coding RNA is filed under the name Balaenoptera musculus (blue whale). RNAcentral's name for it is "lncRNA (ENSBMSG00010002492.1)". The record is from RNAcentral. Lineage: Eukaryota; Metazoa; Chordata; Mammalia; Artiodactyla; Balaenopteridae.